UCCGUGGUGGCUCAGAGGUUAAAGCAUCUGCCUGCAAUGCGGGAGACCUGGGUUCGAUUCCUGGGUUGGGAA
This 72-nucleotide transfer RNA is filed under the name Ovis aries (sheep). It matches the Rfam family "tRNA". From Rfam's summary of the family: Transfer RNA (tRNA) molecules are approximately 80 nucleotides in length. Their secondary structure includes four short double-helical elements and three loops (D, anti-codon, and T loops). Lineage: Eukaryota; Metazoa; Chordata; Mammalia; Artiodactyla; Bovidae. The record is from Rfam by way of RNAcentral.